AUGCGGCCACUGAAUGUGGGCUGCCCUGGAGGGAGGCACCCUCAGCUGGGGAUUGUCAUUUGGGCUGGGCAGCAGGGACCAUGGAGUGCUCCCCAGCGGAAGGGGGCCCAGGCAGCUGCCCUGUGUCACCCCAACCCCCCUUUCCCACGGCUCUCCUUCCUUGGGAAGCAGCCGCUGGAAUCUUUGACUUCAGAAACUCUGCCAGGUGCUCGCUUUCCCCAUCUCUUAGGCAGAGUCCGUUCACUUGUGAAGUCUCUCGAAAUUUUAUCCCAACUAUGUUCAGCGGAAGAGGCUGCCGAAGCUGCAUCAGAAAUGAUAAGCAGUGUUUUGUUUCGCUGCCCCGAGUGGGACCCACGAGCACGCCUGGUCUUCAGACCUGGGUGCAGUCGCCUCUGCAUCUGACUCACCUCAGUACCCAGGAUGGGGGCACAGCACAGGUAGCGGAGCGGGCCGACCAGCUGCCUGGUUGACAGAGGUGACCUGCCGUGGUGGUGUGCUGUCUACUUACAGCUAGCGCAUAUCAGCACAGCGGGGACAGUGACGUUUUGCUCGGAAUAGAGUGAAGACAUUCGGGGGUAAGUUUCCUGGCAGAAGACAGGCUCGGAAGCAGGUCAUCUGAGUCGGGGUAGGGAGGCGGCCACUAGUCGGGCUCUUGAGGAUGCCAGGCAACCUCUGUCACCCAGGAUGAAAGGGGAUGGAAGUGCUGUGCCCACCCUUGGUGGAAAAGCUGCUCCUGCUCUUAAAAGCUGGAACAGGACGUCUGACACAGCCCAGGUCCCCACGGAGGCAGGGGCAUGGCUGGCAUCUGUAGACCACAGCCUCCGGGCACCGGCGGAGAGGAAGAAGAGAAAACCAGCACAGAAUAUUUUCUUUUUUGGACACAGAGUCUCGCUCUGUCCCCAGGCUGGAGUUCAAUGGCGUGAGCUCAGCUCACUGCAAUACUCACCUCCCAGGUUCAAGUGAUUCUUCUGCCUCAGCCUCUUGAGUAGCUAGUAUUAUAGGUGCCUGCCACCAUGCCCGGCUAAUUUUUCUAUUUUUAGUAGAGACUGGGUUUCACCAUGUCAGCCAAGCUAGUCUCGAACUCCUGACCUUGUGAUCUACCCGCCUCAGCCUCCCAAAGGGCAGGGAUUACAGGCAUGAGCCAUCACGCCCAACCUAGCACAGAAAUUUUUUUUGUGUGUUUGGGUACAGGAUGAUUUAUUGGGGGAACUUAAAUAAAGAAGUGUAGUAUUGGGUGGCUGCAAGACAGGUAUAUCUCUACACCACAACUAGACAGACCCAAUGUAUCUUACAUCUUGGGGAAAGUAUACAUGCUCUGGAAGCAAUGUAUAGGUGGAUGCAGUCAUCCACCGACACCUAUGAUAUCUGCAACAGCAUCAAGGAUUGUUUUGGAAGAAACUUAGAAUGAAUAGAUAUUUCUACUUAAAGAGUAAUACAUCAGCUAAGCAUUUGGGAGGCAUUCCUGGGCUGGGGGUUAAUCAGAAGUCACAUUGUGGACUAGCAUUUAAAAUAAAGUCACUCAUGCCCCCACACAUGGAUAGAUCAUGAAACAAUUACGCUGAGUGAAAGUAACCAAACCCAAAAAAGUACUUAUUCUGUGGUUCCUUUUUUUUUUUUUUUUGAGACGGAGUCUCGCUCUAUCGCCCAGGCUGGAGUGCAGUGCACUCC
RNAcentral lists this long non-coding RNA (1668 nucleotides) under Saimiri boliviensis boliviensis (Bolivian squirrel monkey). Its description in RNAcentral is "lncRNA (ENSSBOG00000036597.1)". The record is from RNAcentral. Lineage: Eukaryota; Metazoa; Chordata; Mammalia; Primates; Cebidae.